UUUGUGGAUUUAUUUAAAAGUUAAAACCCUAACAUUCUUCUCUUGUCCUCCGGUUGAUAAUUUAAAGGAAAAAAAGAUGAGAGAAUUGGUGAUUUCCAGCUUGAAAUUGAAGCAACUUUGGAGAAAUCAAUUACGCUGACAAGAAAAUGAAAAUUGUGCAGAAUUAGAAGCAAUGGGGCUCAUGGAACGUUUACACAAAGAUGGACGGGUUGUUGUCGACGGUUCAUGGCUCACUGCAGAGGAUCAUAUAUAACAGCAUAGGGUAAAACAUAAGACAAACAAUAAUAAUUUCAGUCUCACACUAGCUUCUUGUCAUUAUGUUAUAUGCAUGCUGGUAUUCAAUUCAUACAUUCCCAUUUGUUGACACUAAAGAAGCAGUAGCUGUUAAUGAUGACAGAGUCGAACCAUUAUAUGGACAUUUGUGGACAUCUCUACGUUUACAUUAC
This 446-nucleotide long non-coding RNA is filed under the name Helianthus annuus (common sunflower). Its description in RNAcentral is "hypothetical non coding rna". The record is from RNAcentral. Lineage: Eukaryota; Viridiplantae; Streptophyta; Magnoliopsida; Asterales; Asteraceae.